AGGACGAACGCUGGCGGCGUGCCUAACACAUGCAAGUCGAGCGAGGAGAUUCCUUCGGGAUGAUCCUAGCGGCGGACGGGUGAGUAACACGUGGGCAACCUGCCUCAUAGAGAGGAAUAGCCUUCCGAAAGGGAGAUUAAUACCUCAUAACAUUGCAGUUUCGCAUGGAACAGCAAUUAAAGGAGUAAUCCGCUAUGAGAUGGGCCCGCGGCGCAUUAGCUAGUUGGUGAGGUAACGGCUCACCAAGGCGACGAUGCGUAGCCGACCUGAGAGGGUGAUCGGCCACAUUGGGACUGAGACACGGCCCAGACUCCUACGGGAGGCAGCAGUGGGGAAUAUUGCACAAUGGGGGAAACCCUGAUGCCAGCAACGCCGCGUGAGUGAUGACGGCCUUCGGGUUGUAAAGCCCUGUCUUCAGGGACGAUAAUGACGGUACCUGAGGAGGAAGCCACGGCUAACUACGUGCCAGCCGCAGC
This 476-nucleotide ribosomal RNA is filed under the name uncultured bacterium. RNAcentral's name for it is "bacterial SSU rRNA". It matches the Rfam family "Bacterial small subunit ribosomal RNA", at positions 26 to 518 of the family's 1533-position model. The record is from RNAcentral.